Long non-coding RNA from Anas platyrhynchos (mallard), 2571 nucleotides. RefSeq lists it as uncharacterized. Lineage: Eukaryota; Metazoa; Chordata; Aves; Anseriformes; Anatidae. The record is from RefSeq and is a predicted model, not a curated record.
AUGCAAUGCCUCUGAGUAGUGAAAAUGUGAGGACAGAGAUGGUGGGAUGAACCUUUCUUGCUCUGAAGCUGGUCACUGGGGACGUGUCUUUGCCUGAGGAUGACAAGCUGGCCCUCUGUUAAGGACACUUAAAAUGAGGAGUGGAUAAAUAAAUGGCAAACCUGGAGGCUUGCACAGAGAAGCUUGGGUGGAGGCAGCCCCAGCCCACCCCAGGUCAAGGCCAAGCUCUGCUCGCUUGUGCUAGGAUGGGAAAGCAGAGCCUGGAGCUCCACCACAAGCUAAAUUAAGUCACGGGGAAACCUGGAGGAUUGGUAGCCUGAUGCUGGGGCAGGAGAGGAGGCUGCACCGAUCGGCUCUGAAUUAAGAGAAGCAAAGGGCAUGGGGGCCAGUUUUAAAAUUAGACCUGUAAGGAGCCCUUAUCUCCAGCUAGGCUUUAUCAGACGGGCAGGCAGGCCUUAUCCCAUCCUAUAAUCCCCUCUUCUGGAGGCCCUUGAACGCCAGCGACAACAAAAAUGUGCUGUGUCGAAAUCGUCGCCUGAGGAAACGUGAAUUAUCACACGAGGAGGGACGGGUGGAAAACGCGGCGGUGGGUUCAGCCCCCAUCCUUGCCUGUGGUCACAUUUCUUCAGCUGAAAAUUGCUGCAAGUUUUGGAGAAACUGCAACGUUUUGCAUCUCCCCUCUCUGGCCGGCUCGCUGUCUGCAGGGCAUGGAGGGAUUACCUUGCUGGUAGCCCCCUUCAAAGAGCUCAUUAAUGCCACCAGGGGGAUUUUUUUUUUCUUAUAAUAAUGCUGGUGUUGUUUCAAGUCCGGUUGUAUCCGAUUCUUAAUGUUUUACUUCAGAUCAGGUGCUGGAAACGUUUGAUGUGGUGCCAGCCAGAACCCAAAAUGUUUUCUGCAGAGGGAAGGGCCGGAAAGGACAAAUCCUACCCUGAGACGAGGGUCCUGAAUGGAAGCUUCAUGCCCAAAUGGCCUCAAAAGGGAAGGAUUUGAGUCUUAUGCUUGGCCCUGAGGCAUACUCAGAAUCGAAGAAUGGUUUAGAUUUAAAGGCAGCUGCAGGUCCCUGUGGAGCCAGCCCUGCUCCAGCAGGGCCACCCCGAGCAGGGGGCCUGGCCCCAUGUCCAGGUGGCUGCUGGAGAUCCCCAAGGAGGAGCCCCCAGCCCCUCUGGGAAGAAUGGGAAUGGGAUUGGGAAUAUUUUCUCUGGGAAUGUUUUAUUUUCAUUUUUUAUUUAUUUUUUUUGGUCUUGGUGUCUCUCCAGGUUUUGUCCUAGCUGGGGUGCUGUGCGCACCCUGUAGGCUUCCUCCAGCCUGAAGGUGAAAAUCAGUCUGCUCAUGAACUUGCCUGAGUUUUUGGUGAUUAACCAUCUCCUACAAGCUUGCUCCUGCUUCAGAUGCUCAGUCUGGGUCAGCAGUCCAUCCUCAUACAAGGUUUCAGAGCUGAUGAUGUGAAGGUUUCCACCUCUCUCCACUGAAACAUGGGUUAUGAAGCAAUUGUUUGCUUACAGAGCAGCUCUUGGAUUCAGUAACUCAAACUAAAGCGAUUCCUACAGACUCUUUGCAUUCACACUCCCUCGGCUUCUAUAUUUUUAAUGAGCUCCUGACAUUUUUACUCUCUCCCUCUCUGCUGCAGGGAUGCGUCUGUGAUCUGCAGCCCGUACGCUCUGCAGCUAUUGAGACUGAUUUCCAGGUGUCCCGUAGAUAAAGCGGUGUAAGAGCAGUAGGAUCCACAUCCAUAGACCCCCCCAAACCCAGAGCCUUCAGCAUGUGUGCCUUGUAAAGUGUGUUGUACAUUUCCAGGGCUUUGUAAACGGCAGCCGGUGGCUGCCAGAGGAGCCGAGACGAGUAAUCUCUCUCCCCUCCUGCUGCCUUCCCCUCCGUGUUGUGACCUGAUGGAUAAACCAGCAAUAUACAAGGAUAAGCAGUUAGUCCACAAUUUCUCUUAAUCACCUUGGGUAACGGGUGGUGUUGGCUUGGUUUCCUUUUUAUUUUAUAUUAUUCUUUUUUGAAGAAGGCGUUACACUGUUUUGCUUCUCCCCCACUGUUUGCAACUCGGCUUUCACCAGGAGGGCUGAGAAAUGCCUCCUCCAGGCUUCGUGGGUAAUUGCCUAAUCAAAACCCCAAGGAGAAGAGGGAGAAAAAAGGAGAGGGAACUAGCCCAUGUUGGCUACUGUAAACAGCUCCCUCAGCGUCCAUCAUUCAAAGAUGUACUGUGGUCUCAUCCAGUGUGUGAAGACCUAAUGGUGUCUCCUCAAGCUCCUUCUGCAGUCAUCAGGCUCCUCCAGCAGCACAGAGCAUGGCCUCACAGCAGCAAUCUGCCUUUUUUAGCAGAAAACAUUUUGGGAUAUUCUGCCAGAUGUGCCCCAAAGCUGCAUUUGUGGUCCAUGGUCCAAGGAAAUCAGUCCUUGGGGACUCUGCUUGGCCAUCUGCUCAUCCAUACCGAAACUCCUCUUCACCCCCUGCUCCCCUGUGCCUGUCCCAACAAGAGUAGUGGGAAGGGAGUCAGAGGAAUACCCUAUGGGUAGGGUAUGGGAUGGGAAUCCAAUCACUAUGGAUUUAAUUAGGAUGUGAAAAGGG